ACCUUCGUGGUGUAAUGGUCAGCAGGCUCGACGUGUAUUCGAGAGGUCCGUGGUUCGAGUCCCGGCGAGGGCA
This 73-nucleotide transfer RNA is filed under the name Stegodyphus mimosarum. It matches the Rfam family "tRNA". From Rfam's summary of the family: Transfer RNA (tRNA) molecules are approximately 80 nucleotides in length. Their secondary structure includes four short double-helical elements and three loops (D, anti-codon, and T loops). Lineage: Eukaryota; Metazoa; Arthropoda; Arachnida; Araneae; Eresidae. The record is from Rfam by way of RNAcentral.